This is a long non-coding RNA of Lagenorhynchus albirostris (white-beaked dolphin), 1541 nucleotides long. RefSeq lists it as uncharacterized. The record is from RefSeq and is a predicted model, not a curated record. Lineage: Eukaryota; Metazoa; Chordata; Mammalia; Artiodactyla; Delphinidae. The transcript has 6 exons.
CACCUCCUCCUCCUCCUCCCGCCGGUCCCGCUCGCCCGGCCGGGCCAAACAGAGAUCUCAGUAGGAAUGUAAAGGAUGAAAAGGAGUUCGGUGACAUCGCACCCCCAAGUUCACCGCUUCUGAAGCUCUGUUGGUUGCUGGGGAGCCAGUGUGCGCCACUUCACCUGCACACACCAGUUCACAGUUGUGGACACAGGCAUCCUGCGCGGAGGAGUCACCCCGCAAAGUGCAAUGUGAUGUCCUGGAGCACGGGUAGAGGUCUGGGGAGUCACCUGGUGCCGCAGAAACAUCUAGAAGCUGGGCAAAGACCUCGGAGAGUGGUUACUCUGGAGAUCCUUACCCUCCGUCGGGCACACGGCUUUUUAAAUCCUGACACGGGCAGCACCGAAAAGCGUCCCUUGGGUGCGUUGGAAGCCAGAGCGCGCGUCAGGGUGCCCCACGGCCUGGAAAGAAGUUUGCUGAAGGUCUCAAGCCAACCCAUCCUCCUCCCGCAGCCACGUGAAGGAAAAUUCUGGAGAUGGGUUCUCCGGGACCGGCAACUAAUUGAAUUCCCUGAAAGAUGCUUUCUUCUCUCCCUAGACUGUGAGUUUCUGUCAACUUCCCUGCCAGUUUCAGGAAGGAGCGCCUUCUAGCCCAGGAAUGUCUCCCUUCUUGGAGAGCAUAUCGCACUGCUGGUCUGCACAUCUCACUUGGCAAUUAAUCACGUACUCCCACACAAGAAUGUUGGCUAUGAAGACUUGGAAAUCUGGAGCGGUUUUUAGUUCUGCCAUUGGCUUGUUUGUAGCAGUAUCAUUAAGGGCAUGGCCUUUAGAACCAGACAGACCUGGGCUUGAAUCCUGACUCUGUCACUUUAUAGCUGUGUGACCUUCGAAAUCAUCUGGGCUUCCCUGGUGGUGCAGUGGUUGAGAGUCCGCCUGCCGACGCAGGGGACACGGGUUCGUGCCCCGGUCCGGGAGGAUCCCACAUGCCGCGGAGCAGCUGGGCCCGUGAGCCAUGGCCGCUGAGCCUGCGCGUCCGGAGCCUGUGCUCCGCAGCGGGAGAGGCCACAACAGCGAGAGGACCGUGUACCGCAAAAAAAAAAAGAAAAAGAAAUCAUCUGUGCGCUGACACUUUGAGACUAUAAAAAGUGAUACCAGAAGAGAGGACAGAGCCAAGAAAAUCACCACAUUGACACCAGCUGCCAGUCUCAUAGCGCAGAGGCACAAGAGACCUGGAGCCAGAUGGAUAUAACCAGCCAAGGCAGAAAGUGCCGCUAUAGCACCUGUCCUGAGACUAGACGCCGCCCUCCUGAUACCUGCGCUUGUGAUAAACAAGGGAUUCAAAAUUACUUACAUAGGUGGCUACAAGGAAAAUAUCUGCCUUUGGUUUCUAUAGACACUACAUAGAAAAAUAUAGCCUGUUCCCUGUUUCCAGGAACAGGGAUUUAUGUUCCUGUCAUUGCUUUUGUGUAUUUUGCCUUGCUCCUUUUUCAUAUUAGGUUAACUAGAGGUUUAAGUAUUUUGUUGAUUUUUCAAAGAACAAGCAUUUGGGAAUGUUUACUA